UAAUACGUAGGGACCAAGCGUUGUCCGGAUUUAUUGGGCGUAAAGAGCUCGUAGGCGGUUCUGUAAGUCGAGUGUGAAAAAUCUGGGCUCAACCCAGUCGAGCACUCGAUACUGCAGUGACUGGAGUCCGGUAGGGGAGUGUGGAAUUCCUGGUGUAGCGGUGAAAUGCGCAGAUAUCAGGAGGAACACCAACAGCGAAGGCAGCACUCUGGGCCGGUACUGACGCUGAGGAGCGAAAGCGUGGGGAGCGAACAGG
This 256-nucleotide ribosomal RNA is filed under the name uncultured bacterium. RNAcentral describes it as "partial 16S ribosomal RNA". It matches the Rfam family "Bacterial small subunit ribosomal RNA", at positions 521 to 776 of the family's 1533-position model. The record is from RNAcentral.